AGGCCCUUGGUGUUUCGAGCUCAAGAAUCUUCCUGUGACAAGUAAUGGAUUACUGGAUAGAGUCACAGAAAAUGGUGGAAUAUCAAGGAUAACUCGGAUCCAUCUCAAAAGAAUCACCAGAAACAUGCCGAUAAGCAUAGAAAAAAAAAGCGUUUGACUAAAGCUCGAGGGGCUUUCAGCUUCGUGAUCUUGUGAGUGGAGACAGAGGGAGUAAGCUGUGGUCGGAUUGAAAUGAGUAAUUCAUGCUUUUUCUUUGCGUUGCAAUUCUA
This is a long non-coding RNA of Selaginella moellendorffii, 269 nucleotides long. RefSeq lists it as uncharacterized. The transcript is spliced from 3 exons. The record is from RefSeq and is a predicted model, not a curated record. Lineage: Eukaryota; Viridiplantae; Streptophyta; Lycopodiopsida; Selaginellales; Selaginellaceae.